Molecule: small nuclear RNA, 164 nt
Organism: Pogona vitticeps (central bearded dragon)
Lineage: Eukaryota; Metazoa; Chordata; Lepidosauria; Squamata; Agamidae
Gene: U1
Rfam family: U1 spliceosomal RNA
About the family: U1 is a small nuclear RNA (snRNA) component of the spliceosome (involved in pre-mRNA splicing). Its 5' end forms complementary base pairs with the 5' splice junction, thus defining the 5' donor site of an intron. There are significant differences in sequence and secondary structure between metazoan and yeast U1 snRNAs, the latter being much longer (568 nucleotides as compared to 164 nucleotides in human).
Source: Ensembl
ACUCAUACCUGGCAGGGGAGAUACCAUGAUCAUAAAAGUGGUUUUCCCAGGGUAAGGCUCAUCCACUGCACUUUAGGUGUGCUGAUCCCUGUGAUUUCCCCAAACGUGGGAAAAUCAACUGCCUAAUUUAUGCUAGUGGGGGACUGUGUUUGUGGUUUCCCAUA